This 1403-nucleotide ribosomal RNA is filed under the name metagenome. RNAcentral's name for it is "bacterial SSU rRNA". It matches the Rfam family "Bacterial small subunit ribosomal RNA". The record is from RNAcentral.
AGAGUUUGAUCCUGGCUCAGGACGAACGCUGGCGGCGCGCCUAACACAUGCAAGUCGAACGAGCGAGAGAGAGCUUGCUUUCUCGAGCGAGUGGCGAACGGGUGAGUAACGCGUGAGGAACCUGCCCCAAAGAGGGGGACAACAGUUGGAAACGACUGCUAAUACCGCAUAAGCCCACGGGUCGGCAUCGACCAGAGGGAAAAGGAGCAAUCCGCUUUGAGAUGGCCUCGCGUCCGAUUAGCUAGUUGGUGAGGUAAUGGCCCACCAAGGCGACGAUCGGUAGCCGGACUGAGAGGUUGAACGGCCACAUUGGGACUGAGACACGGCCCAGACUCCUACGGGAGGCAGCAGUGGGGAAUAUUGCACAAUGGGGGAAACCCUGAUGCAGCGACGCCGCGUGGAGGAAGAAGGUCUUCGGAUUGUAAACUCCUGUUGUUGGGGAAGAUAAUGACGGUACCCAACAAGGAAGUGACGGCUAACUACGUGCCAGCAGCCGCGGUAAAACGUAGGUCACAAGCGUUGUCCGGAAUUACUGGGUGUAAAGGGAGCGCAGGCGGGAAGACAAGUUGGAAGUGAAAUCUAUGGGCUCAACCCAUAAACUGCUUUCAAAACUGUUUUUCUUGAGUAGUGCAGAGGUAGGCGGAAUUCCCGGUGUAGCGGUGGAAUGCGUAGAUAUCGGGAGGAACACCAGUGGCGAAGGCGGCCUACUGGGCACCAACUGACGCUGAGGCUCGAAAGUGUGGGUAGCAAACAGGAUUAGAUACCCUGGUAGUCCACACCGUAAACGAUGAUUACUAGGUGUUGGAGGAUUGACCCCUUCAGUGCCGCAGUUAACACAAUAAGUAAUCCACCUGGGGAGUACGACCGCAAGGUUGAAACUCAAAGGAAUUGACGGGGGCCCGCACAAGCAGUGGAGUAUGUGGUUUAAUUCGACGCAACGCGAAGAACCUUACCAAGUCUUGACAUCCCUUGACAGACAUAGAAAUAUGUAAUCUCUUCGGAGCAAGGAGACAGGUGGUGCAUGGUUGUCGUCAGCUCGUGUCGUGAGAUGUUGGGUUAAGUCCCGCAACGAGCGCAACCCUUAUGGUCAGUUACUACGCAAGAGGACUCUGGCCAGACUGCCGUUGACAAAACGGAGGAAGGUGGGGAUGACGUCAAAUCAUCAUGCCCUUUAUGACUUGGGCUACACACGUACUACAAUGGCGUUAAACAAAGAGAAGCAAGACCGCGAGGUGGAGCAAAACUCAGAAACAACGUCCCAGUUCGGACUGCAGGCUGCAACUCGCCUGCACGAAGUCGGAAUUGCUAGUAAUCGUGGAUCAGCAUGCCACGGUGAAUACGUUCCCGGGCCUUGUACACACCGCCCGUCACACCAUGAGAGCCGGGGGGACCCGAAGUCGGUA